AGAGUUUGAUCAUGGCUCAGGACGAACGCUGGCUGCGUGCUUAACACAUGCAAGUCGAACGAGGUGCUUGCACCUAGUGGCGAACGGGUGAGUAACACGUGAGCAACCUGCCCUUGGCUCUGGGAUAGCCUCCGGAAACGGGGAUUAAUACCGGACAGGACCUGGGAUCGCAUGAUCUUGGGUGGAAAGUUUUUCGGCCA
Molecule: ribosomal RNA, 200 nt
Filed under: uncultured bacterium
Lineage: Bacteria
Description: partial 16S ribosomal RNA
Rfam family: Bacterial small subunit ribosomal RNA
Source: RNAcentral